UGGGGAAUAUUGCGCAAUGGGGGAAACCCUGACGCAGCAACGCCGCGUGAGUGAUGAAGGUUUUCGGAUUGUAAAGCUCUGUCUUCUGGGACGAUAAUGACGGUACCAGAGGAGGAAGCCACGGCUAACUACGUGCCAGCAGCCGCGGUAAUACGUAGGUGGCGAGCGUUGUCCGGAUUUACUGGGCGUAAAGGGUGCGUAGGCGGAUAUUUAAGUCAGAUGUGAAAACCCCGGGCUUAACUUGGGGACUGCAUUUGAAACUGGAUAUCUAGAGUGCAGGAGAGGAAAGCGGAAUUCCUAGUGUAGCGGUGAAAUGCGUAGAGAUUAGGAAGAACACCAGUGGCGAAGGCGGCUUUCUGGACUGUAACUGACGCUGAGGCACGAAAGCGUGGGUAGCAAACAGG
RNAcentral lists this ribosomal RNA (404 nucleotides) under uncultured Clostridium sp. Its description in RNAcentral is "bacterial SSU rRNA". It matches the Rfam family "Bacterial small subunit ribosomal RNA", at positions 355 to 776 of the family's 1533-position model. Lineage: Bacteria; Bacillati; Bacillota; Clostridia; Eubacteriales; Clostridiaceae. The record is from RNAcentral.